GAUGAACGCUGGCGGCGUGCCUAAUACAUGCAAGUCGAGCGAACAGGUGAGGAGCUUGCUCCUCUGACGUUAGCGGCGGACGGGUGAGUAACACGUGGAUAACCUACCUAUAAGACUGGGAUAACUUCGGGAAACCGGAGCUAAUACCGGAUAAUAUAUUGAACCGCAUGGUUCAAUAGUGAAAGACGGUUUUGCUGUCACUUAUAGAUGGAUCCGCGCCGCAUUAGCUAGUUGGUAAGGUAACGGCUUACCAAGGCAACGAUGCGUAGCCGACCUGAGAGGGUGAUCGGCCACACUGGAACUGAGACACGGUCCAGACUCCUACGGGAGGCAGCAGUAGGGAAUCUUCCGCAAUGGGCGAAAGCCUGACGGAGCAACGCCGCGUGAGUGAUGAAGGUCUUCGGAUCGUAAAACUCUGUUAUUAGGGAAGAACAAAUGUGUAAGUAACUAUGCACGUCUUGACGGUACCUAAUCAGAAAGCCACGGCUAACUACAUG
RNAcentral lists this ribosomal RNA (497 nucleotides) under uncultured bacterium. RNAcentral's name for it is "partial 16S ribosomal RNA". It matches the Rfam family "Bacterial small subunit ribosomal RNA", at positions 28 to 507 of the family's 1533-position model. The record is from RNAcentral.